RNAcentral lists this ribosomal RNA (2892 nucleotides) under Neisseria gonorrhoeae. Its description in RNAcentral is "23S ribosomal RNA". It matches the Rfam family "Bacterial large subunit ribosomal RNA". Lineage: Bacteria; Pseudomonadati; Pseudomonadota; Betaproteobacteria; Neisseriales; Neisseriaceae. The record is from RNAcentral.
AGUCAAGUGAAUAAGUGCAUCAGGCGGAUGCCUUGGCGAUGAUAGGCGACGAAGGACGUGUAAGCCUGCGAAAAGCGCGGGGGAGCUGGCAAUAAAGCUAUGAUUCCGCGAUGUCCGAAUGGGGAAACCCACUGCAUUCUGUGCAGUAUCCUAAGUUGAAUACAUAGGCUUAGAGAAGCGAACCCGGAGAACUGAACCAUCUAAGUACCCGGAGGAAAAGAAAUCAACCGAGAUUCCGCAAGUAGUGGCGAGCGAACGCGGAGAAGCCUGUACGUAAUAACUGUCGAGAUAGAAGAACAAGCUGGGAAGCUUGACCAUAGCGGGUGACAGUCCCGUAUUCGAAAUCUCAACAGCGGUACUAAGCGUACGAAAAGUAGGGCGGGACACGUGAAAUCCUGUCUGAAUAUGGGGGGACCAUCCUCCAAGGCUAAAUACUCAUCAUCGACCGAUAGUGAACCAGUACCGUGAGGGAAAGGCGAAAAGAACCCCGGGAGGGGAGUGAAACAGAACCUGAAACCUGAUGCAUACAAACAGUGGGAGUGCCCUAGUGGUGUGACUGCGUACCUUUUGUAUAAUGGGUCAACGACUUACAUUCAGUAGCGAGCUUAACCGGAUAGGGGAGGCGUAGGGAAACCGAGUCUUAAUAGGGCGAUGAGUUGCUGGGUGUAGACCCGAAACCGAGUGAUCUAUCCAUGGUCAGGUUGAAGGUGCCGUAACAGGUACUGGAGGACCGAACCCACGCAUGUUGCAAAAUGCGGGGAUGAGCUGUGGGUAGGGGUGAAAGGCUAAACAAACUCGGAGAUAGCUGGUUCUCCCCGAAAACUAUUUAGGUAGUGCCUCGAGCAAGACACUGAUGGGGGUAAAGCACUGUUAUGGCUAGGGGGUUAUUGCAACUUACCAACCCAUGGCAAACUCAGAAUACCAUCAAGUGGUUCCUCGGGAGACAGACAGCGGGUGCUAACGUCCGUUGUCAAGAGGGAAACAACCCAGACCGCCGGCUAAGGUCCCAAAUGAUAGAUUAAGUGGUAAACGAAGUGGGAAGGCACAGACAGCCAGGAUGUUGGCUUAGAAGCAGCCAUCAUUUAAAGAAAGCGUAAUAGCUCACUGGUCGAGUCGUCCUGCGCGGAAGAUGUAACGGGGCUCAAAUCUAUAACCGAAGCUGCGGAUGCCGGUUUACCGGCAUGGUAGGGGAGCGUUCUGUAGGCUGAUGAAGGUGCAUUGUAAAGUGUGCUGGAGGUAUCAGAAGUGCGAAUGUUGACAUGAGUAGCGAUAAAGCGGGUGAAAAGCCCGCUCGCCGAAAGCCCAAGGUUUCCUACGCAACGUUCAUCGGCGUAGGGUAAGUCGGCCCCUAAGGCGAGGCAGAAAUGCGUAGUCGAUGGGAAACAGGUUAAUAUUCCUGUACUUGAUUCAAAUGCGAUGUGGGGACGGAGAAGGUUAGGUUGGCAAGCUGUUGGAAUAGCUUGUUUAAGCCGGUAGGUGGAAGACUUAGGCAAAUCCGGGUUUUCUUAACACCGAGAAGUGAUGACGAGUGUCUACGGACACGAAGCAACCGAUACCACGCUUCCAGGAAAAGCCACUAAGCUUCAGUUUGAAUCGAACCGUACCGCAAACCGACACAGGUGGGCAGGAUGAGAAUUCUAAGGCGCUUGAGAGAACUCGGGAGAAGGAACUCGGCAAAUUGAUACCGUAACUUCGGGAGAAGGUAUGCCCUCUAAGGUUAAGGACUUGCUCCGUAAGCCCCGGAGGGUCGCAGAGAAUAGGUGGCUGCGACUGUUUAUUAAAAACACAGCACUCUGCCAACACGAAAGUGGACGUAUAGGGUGUGACGCCUGCCCGGUGCCGGAAGGUUAAUUGAAGAUGUGCAAGCAUCGGAUCGAAGCCCCGGUAAACGGCGGCCGUAACUAUAACGGUCCUAAGGUAGCGAAAUUCCUUGUCGGGUAAGUUCCGACCCGCACGAAUGGCGUAACGAUGGCCACACUGUCUCCUCCCGAGACUCAGCGAAGUUGAAGUGGUUGUGAAGAUGCAAUCUACCCGCUGCUAGACGGAAAGACCCCGUGAACCUUUACUGUAGCUUUGCAUUGGACUUUGAAGUCACUUGUGUAGGAUAGGUGGGAGGCUUGGAAGCAGAGACGCCAGUCUCUGUGGAGUCGUCCUUGAAAUACCACCCUGGUGUCUUUGAGGUUCUAACCCAGACCCGUCAUCCGGGUCGGGGACCGUGCAUGGUAGGCAGUUUGACUGGGGCGGUCUCCUCCCAAAGCGUAACGGAGGAGUUCGAAGGUUACCUAGGUCCGGUCGGAAAUCGGACUGAUAGUGCAAUGGCAAAAGGUAGCUUAACUGCGAGACCGACAAGUCGGGCAGGUGCGAAAGCAGGACAUAGUGAUCCGGUGGUUCUGUAUGGAAGGGCCAUCGCUCAACGGAUAAAAGGUACUCCGGGGAUAACAGGCUGAUUCCGCCCAAGAGUUCAUAUCGACGGCGGAGUUUGGCACCUCGAUGUCGGCUCAUCACAUCCUGGGGCUGUAGUCGGUCCCAAGGGUAUGGCUGUUCGCCAUUUAAAGUGGUACGUGAGCUGGGUUUAAAACGUCGUGAGACAGUUUGGUCCCUAUCUGCAGUGGGCGUUGGAAGUUUGACGGGGGCUGCUCCUAGUACGAGAGGACCGGAGUGGACGAACCUCUGGUGUACCGGUUGUAACGCCAGUUGCAUAGCCGGGUAGCUAAGUUCGGAAGAGAUAAGCGCUGAAAGCAUCUAAGCGCGAAACUCGCCUGAAGAUGAGACUUCCCUUGCGGUUUAACCGCACUAAAGGGUCGUUCGAGACCAGGACGUUGAUAGGUGGGGUGUGGAAGCGCGGUAACGCGUGAAGCUAACCCAUACUAAUUGCCCGUGAGGCUUGACUCU